Molecule: RNA transcript, 914 nt
Organism: Solanum dulcamara
Lineage: Eukaryota; Viridiplantae; Streptophyta; Magnoliopsida; Solanales; Solanaceae
Exons: 6
Source: RefSeq, a predicted model, not a curated record
UUCUGUUUUCAAUAUCACUCGUUUCCCCUGUUUAAGCCCCCAAAACUGUAGGGGUUUGCCAACACGAGCUGAUAAUGGUGAAGAUCAUAGCGUGCUUACAGCUUCAAAAUCGGAGUUCUAAGGCUUGGACUCCAUUUCCGCUAAGCAAAAGACGUUUUGGUUACCGUAAACUUCCUAAACAGUUACUCAAUCUCUCCGUCCUCAAAUUGGAUGGCUCUUCAUUCGUUAUCCAUGUAGGGAGGAAUGCUACAGUAGCAGACCUUAAACAAGCAGUUCAGGAAGCUUUUAAUUUCUCGCGGGAGGAUGAAGGCAAGAUUCUAUGGUCACUAGUAUGGAGCCACUUCUGUUUGUGCUACGGAAGUCAAAAACUUGUGAAUGACAAAGCUUUUAUUAACUGUUUUGGCAUGAAAGAUGGUGAUCAGCUUCAAUUUGCACAGCAUGUCACGUUGGAGUACAGGCCAGCUAAACAAAGACUGGAUAGCCAAUAUGAACAGUCCAAACAAUGCUCUAUUUCAAAUGCUCAUGAAGUGAACGUUGAAGCUAAUGCCAACAUUGACCACCAAGAGAAGGGCAAAAAGAUUAGUGAGUUUCAAUACGAGGAUGCAAUUCCUAAACCAAAGCUGUCUCAUUUUUUAAGAAGAUGGUUAUCUCAAUCAAAAUCUUGGAUAUCAACAAGAAAGCCUUAGCCUUUGCUACUGGGUGCGUCUGUAUAACUUUGAAUCAUCACUAACUAGGGUUGACAAACUGGUCAGAUGAUAGCAGCUAUUGUUCAUGGAAAUAUAGAUUAUAGUUCCAUACUUCAUUUUUCUGUUUCUUUUGCCUUCUAGGCUAAGUGAUAGGGGUGGAAAACUAAAUGAGAUUUGUUAAUUGCCAUUCAUGAUGGAAGUUUCACAAAUACAAUAACUCGGAAUAAC